AGGAUUCAGCCUGGAUUACAACUACGAAUGGGAGAGAGACAUGGAAGGUUCUGGAUCAGCCACAGAAGACAUGGAAGGUUCUGGAUCAGCCACAGAAGACAUGGAAGGUUCUGGAUCAGCCACAGAAGAGCUGGAUCCUAUUGAAUCAACUUCACAAGAUACGCAUUGGAGAAGCUAUCUCGCUAUCGGACAAAUGGUGAUCGUGUUCAUAUCGGCCGUUUUAAUUGCAGGUGGGUGCAAUACUCCGCGUAAUUCGUUCAAUGUUCC
Molecule: long non-coding RNA, 267 nt
Organism: Hypanus sabinus (Atlantic stingray)
Lineage: Eukaryota; Metazoa; Chordata; Chondrichthyes; Myliobatiformes; Dasyatidae
Exons: 6
Source: RefSeq, a predicted model, not a curated record